UACAGAGGGUGCAAGCGUUGUUCGGAAUUAUUGGGCGUAAAGAGUGCGUAGGUGGUUUAGUAAGUUGGAAGUGAAAGCCCGGGGCUUAACCUCGGAAUAGCUUUCAAAACUACUAAUCUAGAGUGUAGUAGGGGAUGAUGGAAUUCCUAGUGUAGAGGUGAAAUUCUUAGAUAUUAGGAGGAACACCAGUGGCGAAGGCGGUUGCCUGGAGCUUUGCUGACGCUGAGGCGCGAAAGCGUGGGGAGCGAUCCGG
This 253-nucleotide ribosomal RNA is filed under the name uncultured bacterium. Its description in RNAcentral is "partial 16S ribosomal RNA". It matches the Rfam family "Bacterial small subunit ribosomal RNA", at positions 524 to 776 of the family's 1533-position model. The record is from RNAcentral.